GAUGAACGCUGGCGGCGUGCCUAAUACAUGCAAGUCGAGCGAACAGACGAGGAGCUUGCUCCUCUGACGUUAGCGGCGGACGGGUGAGUAACACGGGGAUAACCUACCUAUAAGACUGGGAUAACUUCGGGAACCCGGGGCUAAUACCGGAUAAUAUAUUAAACCGCAUGGUUCAAUAGUGAAAGACGGUUUUGCUGUACCUUAUAGAUGGAUCCGCGCCGCAUUAGCUAGUUGGUAAGGUAACGGCUUACCAAGGCAACGAUGCGUAGCCGACCUGAGAGGGUGAUCGGCCACACUGGAACUGAGACACGGUCCAGACUCCUACGGGAGGCAGCAGUAGGGAAUCUUCCGCAAUGGGCGAAAGCCUGACGGAGCAACGCCGCGUGAGUGAUGAAGGUCUUCGGAUCGUAAAACUCUGUUAUUAGGGAAGAACAAAUGUGUAAGUAACUAUGCACGUCUUGACGGUACCUAAUCAGAAAGCCACGGCUAACUACGUG
RNAcentral lists this ribosomal RNA (497 nucleotides) under uncultured bacterium. RNAcentral describes it as "partial 16S ribosomal RNA". It matches the Rfam family "Bacterial small subunit ribosomal RNA", at positions 28 to 507 of the family's 1533-position model. The record is from RNAcentral.